Non-coding RNA from Mycena vulgaris, 95 nucleotides. Lineage: Eukaryota; Fungi; Basidiomycota; Agaricomycetes; Agaricales; Mycenaceae. The record is from the annotation of a GenBank genome assembly.
GACCCAGUGGCGGAUAGUUCGCGCCCGCACCGUGUAAAUGUGAAUUCUGUCGAGUCUGGCAGCGGGAAGUCCUGGUUCGACUCCAGGCUGGGUCA